RNAcentral lists this ribosomal RNA (253 nucleotides) under uncultured bacterium. Its description in RNAcentral is "partial 16S ribosomal RNA". It matches the Rfam family "Bacterial small subunit ribosomal RNA", at positions 524 to 776 of the family's 1533-position model. The record is from RNAcentral.
UACGUAGGGUGCAAGCGUUGUCCGGAAUUAUUGGGCGUAAAGAGCUCGUAGGCGGCCUGUCGCGUCGGCUGUGAAAACUCAGGGCUCAACCCUGAGCCUGCAGUCGAUACGGGCAGGCUAGAGUCCGGCAGGGGAGACUGGAACUCCUGGUGUAGCGGUGAAAUGCGCAGAUAUCAGGAGGAACACCGGUGGCGAAGGCGGGUCUCUGGGCCGGAACUGACGCUGAGGAGCGAAAGCGUGGGGAGCGAACAGG